UCCUGUGUGAGCACCUCAGUGUCCACACCAUGGGGUCUGCGUUCAUCUGGGCUGCCCUUCUCUUCGCUGUCAAAGGUGGCCUGUGCCAAGUUCAGCUGGUGCAGUCUGGGGGAGGCGUGGUGCCGCCCGGGGGGUCUCUGAGCCUCUCCUGCAGAGCCUCUGGAUUCAACUUCACUAACUAUGAAAUGAACUGGGUCCGCCAGGCUCCAGGGAAAGGGCUGCAGUGGGUGGCAAAAGUGAGUAAACCAACUGGAAAGAAUCAGUGGUAUGCUCCAGCAGUCCAAGGAAAAUUCACAAUCUCCAGGGACAAUCCUACAAGCACAGUCUCUCUUAAAAUGACCAAGCUGACAUCUGAGGACACGGCCAUGUAUUACUGUACAAGAGGCACAGUGGCAGUUCCCACCUUCACCUGCUGCUGGUUCCACUGGGAGCGCCAGACGCUAGGGAAGAGCCUGGAGUGGAUGGGACGGAUCUGGCCUGGUGAUGGGGAUACCAGAUACAGCCAGUCCUUUCGAGGCCACAUCACCAUCUCCACGGACAACUCCACCAGCACCGGCUACCUGCAGUGGAGCAGCCUGAAGGCCUCUGACAAGGCCAUGUAUUACUAUUCGCCCCUGAAGGAAGCAGCAUUUGCUGUGUCCACAGGACUGAGAGCAGGAGAAGGUGUUUCCUGUCCUCAGGUCUCCAGCCUGAGGACCAUCUCAAAGAAUAGGGACACCAAGUAG
Myotis davidii is the source of this 725-nucleotide non-coding RNA. The record is from the annotation of a RefSeq genome assembly. Lineage: Eukaryota; Metazoa; Chordata; Mammalia; Chiroptera; Vespertilionidae.